UAAGGAUAAUACGCCUGCCUCCCUAGAAU
RNAcentral lists this non-coding RNA (29 nucleotides) under Rattus norvegicus (Norway rat). Lineage: Eukaryota; Metazoa; Chordata; Mammalia; Rodentia; Muridae. The record is from RNAcentral.